This is a long non-coding RNA of Gambusia affinis (western mosquitofish), 640 nucleotides long. RefSeq lists it as uncharacterized. Lineage: Eukaryota; Metazoa; Chordata; Actinopteri; Cyprinodontiformes; Poeciliidae. The record is from RefSeq and is a predicted model, not a curated record. The transcript has 3 exons.
UGUUACAUUUUUUCGUAGCUUUGUGAAAGAUCAGUUGGAUAAUGAAAAUGUCGUCAUUUGAUACAGAUUCAUUGACACUUUCUCAAAUUAGACUAUUGUCUAGAGAGGAAUUGGUUACAUUGGUUGUAGAUUUUCAACAAAGGUUAAAAGAGAGACCUGUCAUCCUGAUCAAGGACAAAACACUGGCGCAGGAAUUGAUUAAAGCCCAUGAUCAAAUUGAGCUUCUAAAUGAGAAAAUUGCUCAGGAAAAACAGAGAAGCAGGAUUUUACAAGAAUGCCUAAUGAAAAAAGAUCGGCAGCUCAAUGAACUCUUGUAUGAGCAGGCAAAGAGACGACCCUCGAAGAUAUUGUGUGACUAUCCUAUAAUCUACUUGGAAGCACAUAGUUAGCAUGGAGCAGCCCGAAGCUGCUCUCACAAGAUGUUUCCCUCACAGCUCUACUCCACACACAUCUGCGGGGUUAGCGACACGAGGAUUUGUGUUUGCGACAUCAAACAAACACAAACGGAUGAAAUGUAUGAGAGAAGUAAUUUUACAAGGUGCUACAUCCUGACAACAACGCGAUUCAUCUAGAUGAAACCGAGACCAUUUGAGGUUCCAGAUGCACUGGGUUCAUUUAGCAUCACAGAGCUGAAUUAAAG